GACGGAGGAUGCAAGUGUUAUCCGGAAUCACUGGGCGUAAAGCGUCUGUAGGUGGUCAAAUAAGUCAACUGUUAAAUCUUGAGGCUCAACUUCAAAAUCGCAGUCGAAACUAUUAGACUAGAGUAUAGUAGGGGUAAAGGGAAUUUCCAGUGGAGCGGUGAAAUGCGUAGAGAUUGGAAAGAACACCGAUGGCGAAGGCACUUUACUGGGCUAUUACUAACACUCAGACACGAAAGCUAGGGUAGCAAAUGGG
RNAcentral lists this ribosomal RNA (253 nucleotides) under uncultured bacterium. RNAcentral's name for it is "partial 16S ribosomal RNA". It matches the Rfam family "Bacterial small subunit ribosomal RNA", at positions 524 to 776 of the family's 1533-position model. The record is from RNAcentral.